Long non-coding RNA from Bombus terrestris (buff-tailed bumblebee), 6130 nucleotides. RefSeq lists it as uncharacterized. NCBI's taxonomy places the organism in Eukaryota, Metazoa, Arthropoda, Insecta, Hymenoptera, Apidae. The record is from RefSeq and is a predicted model, not a curated record. The transcript has 6 exons.
GAGUGGACAGUGGGGACUCAGAGAUGGUCGACAGAUGUGGCGAGUAUCGGGACAGCGGCGAAUGGAGCGGUCUACGCGAAUAACUUCAUGAAAUUCUGGUUGCUAGGCAACGUGGAUGCUUCUCUGGCAGUUUUUCUUUGAUGAGUCAAACACGAAGAAAGUAUGCUAAGCUGGUAAAAAUAAUUUUUAUCGUAAGGAAGGUUGACUGAAAAAUAGCAAAUCGUUGUUUGGACAGUUACAUAAUGUUUAAGAAGACUCGGCAAUUUUUGUGUCGCGCAAUUGUUUCGCACCUGACCUGAUAAGCUUCCGAUUGCAUGGUCUCAAUACCAGAAGCUUCUUCUCGCGAUGCAUUACAUUGCAGGGAUGGAAAGCGUAUCGUGAACACUUGUUACGCGCGUUGCCUCUGAAUUUGGCUUCGGCCAUGGUCACGAAUGAUUGACAGAUUUCGAUUCAUGAAUCAGUUAGUAUCGUGUGCGUAGAAUUUCGCGUCUGCUGCACCAGCAUAUUCCGAUCUAUGGAAUUUUCCUUCCAUUUUCCAUUGGCUUACUCAAAGGAAAAUUGGGAAAUGAGCUUGCUAUUUUGGUUGGCUUCUUUAUUGCUCCUCGCGCAUUCACGUAACUAACCACCAGAGAAGCCUCCGCGACGACGAACGUCACUCCGCGACCAAGAAUAAUGGUCCGCGAAGGAAAAGCGGGGAAAGAAAGCGAAGAAAGGAACCGCUUCGUGGAACGCUAUUUUCGCUUGGAUUAGAUGGACGAUCGGGGCAAACGGGACGAACAAAUGCAGCGGAAUAAUCAAAAUCGAAGUGUGUGUUUGCCAGAGGAUGGUACAAAAUGACCGGUAUUCCGAGAAAGUCCUUUGUUCGAAAAAGAAAAAUCUCUUUAAUUGUAGUGUAAAAGACGAUGAACUAAACAAAACGCCCAAUGAGAAAUAGUAUACGUAUACUUGUAAGACAUAACAAUAAGAAACAGUGUCUGUCAUGUCAUUUUAUUUAGACGUAAAAGAAGAAAAAUUGAUACAAUGAAGAACACAUGUUGUGAAGAGGAACUAAAGAAGGCGAUGAAAAUCAAAUGUAAACAGCUUAAGAUAGAGUGAAAAAGAGAAAAAAUCAAAAUUUGUAAAAAGGAGAACUCUUUCAUGAUGAAACGCAAGAAAUAUCUCUGGCAGCAAAACAAAUAAUCAAAAAUCAAUGGAGGUAUCUUUUGCAUGAAAAUAAAGAAAUAUAGUAUACAGGGUAUCUUAGGAGGGCUAAGAGGAAAGGAAAAUAAUUGGAUGAAGAGAAAGCUUACCGUGGAGCACCGGUCAUCAAUGAACUGUGAUUAGAGAAGGGUCCCCCAUAGUAAUAGGGCAAACUGUCUCCGUAGUAGGGCAUCGUGGCGAUGAUUAUCCAACAGAUUUACGCGUACAAUCGUCGAAGGGUUGGAAUUCGAAGAGGAAGCACAAACGGGAGGCGCGAACAGUGAGCACGAGCGGUUCGACGCUCUCGAAGACGACUGAGUGCGGCACGGAUCGCCGGCGAACGCGUUCUCAGGUGUUCGACGAGCCGUUCUCACGGUUCAGGGAGCCAACACCGACUGAGUCUAAGCCAGCGACCCAGUGUAAUAAUAGAAGUCUAGUAUAUGUGGCUUCCUAGCGUCUAACUAUACUAGCUGGACUGUAAUAACCCGUACAACGUCUCAUUGCUUUUCUACAAAUAUUUUCCGUGUUGUAGCGUUUACGUGACUCAUUGUCAGGACCAGAAUUGAAUCGUAUCAACCGAUUGUCAAACCUGAUGUAACAAGCCUUUUCCCAUGCGUUCCUAUGAUGAACACCGCGAGGCAUUUUACUAACGUAAAGAGACAUAAAAAUGGUAAAAGAGGACGAUUAUUGUUUUUCUAUGAUCGAACACGAUAAUACGAAUUUUUUUAAAUUUUAACGGUGAAUGUUUCCGUUUCAGAAAAUUGACAAGGACUCGAAUACAACGUAAAGAAUUGUUGACAGAAAUUUUGGUAAAACGUAUAUUGGUUAAAAUCACUCGUCACUAUCAUGCUGUUAAAAACACAAGAACAACAUUGAUGAAAGUCGUGAAGAAUACCGAAAGACGCGCAAUCAUGCAUCGUGAGGCUCGCGGUAUAACAUGCACGUCAAAUUGCCAGGCGACGAAUUUCGCGUCGUUGUCUCUGCAGCCGUGUAAAACGCGCAAUGUGUCAGCGGAGCCACGGAUUCGCGUUGUUUUGUAUUCGGCUAUCGAGACCCGCGCCAAAUGUUUCCUUCCUCGGUGCCUAUUGUUACUUGUUCAGGGAAACUUAGAAAUAGCCAACGAAUGGCAACGAAUUCUAUUUCAAGUCAAUUCUGCAACUAACUUUAGUUUCAAAAUUUACUUUAGAAGUUCAAUUUUACAAAACCCGUGAUACAAAUUUAAAUUGCUAUCAUGGUGAAACUUAAACAUAAGGUGCAUCAAGGUGAAAAGGAUAUACAUAUGUACAAGAUGAUUGUUUUCAUGAAAAUUCUUUGGCUUAAAUCUUACUUACCGUCGCAUCUGAGACCUUGUCGAAAAAAACCAUACAACAUGGAACCGCAAUGAUCACAAAAGGUCGGUGACAUGAACGUAUAAGGACGAAACCUGUGAGGCACAUCUACCUUGAAACGCUCCCUCAAGUACUGCCAUCGAACAAGUAUUAACAAAAUUAGAACGAUUCUGUGUAAGAUUAGAUGUUGCGUUACUUUGAACAAAUAGCAUAAACAGAUGCAGUGUGGGCUACCAGAAAUAACACAUAACCGCUUUUUAUAAAAAUAGAUAUCAGAUACUUUCACAAAAUUUCAGUGUCCUUACUACAAAAAAGAAAACACAUAUAUAUAAUUAGAUCUGUUUUCAGGGACACAAAUUUGGAUUUCGGGUUUUAAAUUACUGGAAAAUUAUAUGUCUGAAAAUAUUCGGUAUUUGGUAGAAUUUACCGUUGCAUCAUGAGCAAACGUUUGCACACGGAUUCUCGACGUUUAGAAAUAGAUAUAAAUUUUAGCAUACAAGACAACAUUAGGAACAGUGUUGUUUUCCAUGGUCAUGGAUGAUCUAUACAUCAUUAAGCAAAUAAACAAACAUAGUUUCCUCGAGAUAUACAUUGAACUUUUACCAAAAAACACCACUGAUUCUCAUCAAAGGAAAUUGACAAACGAAUAUCAAUUAUUCUCAUAAAUCCUAAAGAAGAUUUGUCGCUUGUACGGUGAAGUUGUAUAAAGCGGAUCCACUUACUAUCGUGUUUUCGGACUCCCUGCCACUUUCCGGGCACUUGGUUAAUAAUUUAUCAUGGCACUUCUUGUGCACCGCUGUUUGGCAGGCUGAAACGCAGGAAUGGAAUAUUAAUAGAGGUACAACGUGGCCGGUACAGUCAGAAAAAGUACUGUCUGGGAUAUAAUAUUUACCUUGGCAUUGAUACCCUUGCUUUCCGAAUCCCCUGCGACAAAGAGCACAUCGCAGAUUAAUUGGAAAAUACGCCGUACUUGAGGAAACCGCUGGCCGAUACUUGAGUGAUAUGCCGAACGGCACAGUGCAAACUAUUUUUAGAUGUCCGCACGUACAUCGUCAAAGCAGCCGUCUUUUACGAUAAAUCGAAACUCUUCGAUUAUUACUACGCUGUCUGAGAGCGAAUGUUCUCGAUAAAACGUGUGUUUGUGGCUGCUUUGUUUCCUCAAGACAUAUUUGUUUCAUUUAUGUUUUAAAAACUUUACCAAAGGAAAUCCUUGCAAAAGGCGCAGAAGGUCGGUUGUCUGAAGAAUUUUGCAACUAGUUUGUGACCUCGAACCACGUGCACCUUGUUAUGUUUCACUGCUCCUCUUCUUUUCGUAAUUGCUCCACCAAUGUUGUUUUUCUCGCGUGCAGGGGACACAGAUGCAGCCGCGAUAUCCCGUCGGGGAACCCUGGUUUUAUAUACAUAUGUUUUCCCUGUGGACGUUGUCGGCGAUAUUCUAGUUAUUUCAGUUGUAUUCUAAACUUCGCUUGUGAAUUUGGAAGUGUAAACUUGCAAUUUGCCAAUGCUAAUUCUAAAUCAAUUAAAUUUUCAUACGAAGGUAUUUUAUCUGGAGGGAUUGAUUAACAACAGAAGAUAACAUCGAACAGUCAUGGAACAUUCAACAAGCUUUACCUACCGAAUGGCUCACCUGUAAGUGUAUCCUUCCGCGCCCACGCGUGCCUGCGGACUCCUACGAGCCUGCGGACUUCUUCCAGCUCGCGGGCUUCUACGGUCCGCGGAGGACUUCCGGCCUGAACCACCGCCUGCGUUGCGCCUCUUCGCGUGAGCACCACCGGUUCGAUGUCACCUUCACCACUGUUCACUUACCACUGAUUUCAACGUUUUCGAUCUUUGUGCACCAAAUAAUAAUAAUAAUAAUAAUAAGAGCUACAAUUAUAAUUAAAAAAAUAUGGCUUCCAAGCGAGAAGGAAAAUCCCUGAGGUUAUAAUAAAACAGAAAUUUUUGAAGGAAAAGGUUAGAAGACACCGAGUCUCUUCUUCAGUCUCACUCUUCUCACCCUUGGAAAGAUCACACGUUUUUGAUCAAAUGGAUGUAUGACUAAUACUCGUGAAAGGAAACGGUACAUCGACUAUGGAAGUGGAAGAUGUCUCUUCUUUUCAAUUUCCUCUUCUUAACGUGCCGAUGUGAUACAUCGUUUCAACAAGAAUGUGUCGCGAACAAAAGUAGUAUUAACGAUAUUCAAACGUCAGCUACACGGUUUGAUUGACUCCACACGAUAUUUGAAUGCUGUACUUUAGUAAGUCUCUUUCGUUUUCUGAAAAUAACGACUACUGAUUGCUGUAAUUUAUAGAAUACAUACGAUCAAAUUGAAAACUAUGGAUCAUCGCGUGGAUGUUGAUGAACAUAGGAACUGGAUUUUGACGCCUAAAACGUUGUGUAGCUUUGCACGAAACUCUCGAAUCUAUAAAUAUCAGCCUGUUGAAUACCGCCCGCCAUCGAGUCGAGUAGCGCCGCGCGCGGGAAAUAUUAGAAUGCGCUAUCCGGCGCGUUUUCCAGCCUGGAAAAGCGAAUGGAUUCCAGAAAAACUUCUGGACAGGUUAAAAAAAUAGAUCCAUGUAAUAUAUAAGAAAAAACUUGUACAUUUCAGACAAGCUUGACUCUGGUUGCUUUUUUUUUAAAUAAGUUUGAAUAGUAUAAAAAAAGAAACACACACUAACGAUUGAUUUUUUUUAUGCAAACGAAUGUAUUUGUUCGAUGUGUAAUUAACGAUGUGUACAAUGAGUUCGUUUCCUUACAUGUCAAGUACAGAAAAACAAUUACUCAUUAUUUGUAUCGUGAAUAGAAUUUUUUUCUACGUUAAUUAAUAUCUUUGCUGUUCCAUUACUGCACAUUGCAUUAAAGAGCAAUUUCGUGAUUGACUCCCCUCAUUCCUCCUCGUGGAACAAACGAGCGAUUGUCGUAUUGAUAAAUAUCGUUAAGCAGAAAAUUAAAGAGAGAAGCCGUUUUAUACACAGCCUUUGAAAUACCGCGAGGAAAUUGUCCAAUUUUCUUCGGUACUAUAUACAUUUAAAGUAAAAUACAAAUAGUUACAGAUUCGAUCAUGGAAUAAUCUGAACAUUAUGUGCUCGUGAUAGAACCUUAUGUAAUGUAUGUUUCAAACAGGCUCACAACGUUAUCUCGUCGAUAAACAUGUGUAGAGCUAUUACUUUCGCUUACGGCGGAACUACAUCUUAAAUAAUGUAACUAAUCUUAAUUUUCUUAAAAGCUACAAUAUUUAUAUAUUUAUAUUUAUGUAUAGCGGACAAGGAAUAGAGAAACCUAAAUCGAUACGAACAUCGCUACGAUAAAAAUCCAAAUGAUUCUUAUAAAGAGACUGAUCACUGUAAACUAAAAACGCUGUUCUUCUUCAAAGCGUACAACACGGUUUCGUGACUGAUUUGUUUGUGUAUAUGUGUAUAUGUGUGUUCGUAUUAUGCUAUUAUCAAAACUCCCUAGCCAGUGGUUUUCUCGGUUCCUUUUAAAAAACGCUCUUUGAAAUUCGUGUAAAAGAAUUAUCGGUUGGGAAUGAUUAGAAAAUAUAUACCAGAAAGAAUUCGGCUUGGUAUUUUCGCCUUUUUUGUCUCCUCUUGCUUGUCUGCAAACAUUAGUGCACCACGGGAUAUAUCAUCGAAGUCUAAGAACUU